Molecule: ribosomal RNA, 465 nt
Filed under: uncultured bacterium
Lineage: Bacteria
Description: bacterial SSU rRNA
Rfam family: Bacterial small subunit ribosomal RNA
Source: RNAcentral
GGGCCCGCACAAGCGGAGGAGCAUGUGGUUUAAUUCGAUGAUACGCGAGGAACCUUACCUGGGCUCGAACGUGUAUGGAAUUAUGCCGAAAGGUAUAAGCCAGCAAUGGCCGUAUACGAGGUGCUGCAUGGUUGUCGUCAGCUCGUGCCGUGAGGUGUUAGGUUAAGUCCUGCAACGAGCGCAACCCUUACCUUUAGUUGCCAGCAUGUAAUGAUGGGGACUCUAAAGGAACUGCCUACGCAAGUAGUGAGGAAGGUGGGGAUGACGUCAAAUCAGCACGGCCCUUAUGUCCAGGGCGACACACGUGCUACAAUGGCCGAUACAAAGGGCAGCUACCGGGCGACCGGAUGCGAAUCUUUAAAAUCGGUCUCAGUUCGGAUCGGAGUCUGCAACUCGACUCCGUGAAGUCGGAUUCGCUAGUAAUCGCGCAUCAGCCAUGGCGCGGUGAAUACGUUCCCGGGCCUU